Molecule: ribosomal RNA, 273 nt
Filed under: uncultured bacterium
Lineage: Bacteria
Description: partial 16S ribosomal RNA
Rfam family: Bacterial small subunit ribosomal RNA
Source: RNAcentral
GGUGAACGCUGGCGGCGUGGAUGAGGCAUGCAAGUCGAAUGGGUUUAGACCCAUGGCAGACGAGGUAGGAACACGUAGGUACAAACCCAAAGUCAGGGAUAACCCGGUGAAAAUCGGAAUAAUACUUGAUAGUCUCUUCGGAGUAAAAAUUUAUUGCUUUGGGAUUGGCCUGCGGGCUAUCAGCUUGUUGGUGAGGUAACUGCUCACCAAGGCUACGACGGCUAGGGGAGGUGAGAGCCUGACCCCCACCGAUGGAACUGCGACACGGUCCAU